Molecule: ribosomal RNA, 393 nt
Filed under: uncultured bacterium
Lineage: Bacteria
Description: partial 16S ribosomal RNA
Rfam family: Bacterial small subunit ribosomal RNA
Source: RNAcentral
AUACGUAGGUGCCAAGCGUUAUCCGGAUUUACUGGGCGUAAAGGGCGUGUAGGCGGUCUUGCAAGUCAGAAGUGAAAUUCCUGAGCUCAACUCGGGCGCUGCUUCUGAAACUGCAGGACUUGAGUGCUGGAGGGGAUAGCGGAAUUCCUAGUGGAGCGGUAAAAUGCGCAGAUAUUAGGAAGAACACCGGUGGCGAAGGCGGCUAUCUGGACAGUAACUGACGCUGAGGCGCGAAAGCGUGGGGAGCAAACAGGAUUAGAUACCCUGGUAGUCCGCGCAGUAAACGAUGCGCACCAGGUGUCGGGCGGCAGCGCCCGGUACCGGAGCAAACGCGAUGAGUGCGCCGCCUGGGGAGUAUGCCCGCAAGGGUGAAACUCAAAUGAAUUGGCGGGG